This 478-nucleotide ribosomal RNA is filed under the name uncultured bacterium. RNAcentral's name for it is "partial 16S ribosomal RNA". It matches the Rfam family "Bacterial small subunit ribosomal RNA", at positions 28 to 507 of the family's 1533-position model. The record is from RNAcentral.
GAUGAACGCUGGCGGCGUGCUUAACACAUGCAAGUCGAACGGGAAACCUUUUAUUGAAGCUUCGGUAGACUUCGCUGGUUUCUAGUGGCGGACGGGUGAUUCACGCGUGGGUAACCUGCCUUACACAGGGGGAUAACAGUCAGAAAUGGCUGCUAAUACCGCAUAAGCGCACACAUCUGCAUGGCCCAGUUCGAAAGACUCCGGUUGGAUAAGGUGGAUCCGCGUUGUAUUAGCCGGUUGGUGGGGUAACGGCCUACCAAGGCGAGGAUCCAUAGCCGGACAGAGAGGGAGAGCGGCGACAUUGGGAGGGGGACACGGCCGAGACUCUUGCGGGAGGGAGCAGUGGGGAAUAUUGCACAAUGGGGGAAACCCUGAUGCAGUUACGCCGCGUGAAGGAAGAAGUAUGUGGGGAUGUAAACUUCUAUCAGCAGGGAAGAUAAUGACGGUACCUGAAUAAGAAGCCCCGGCUAACUACGUG